Long non-coding RNA from Olea europaea var. sylvestris, 2824 nucleotides. RefSeq lists it as uncharacterized. The transcript is spliced from 4 exons. The record is from RefSeq and is a predicted model, not a curated record. NCBI's taxonomy places the organism in Eukaryota, Viridiplantae, Streptophyta, Magnoliopsida, Lamiales, Oleaceae.
UGAAACCCUAAACCUAAACCCAGUGCGCGGCGGCAGCCACCUCCUUUGCAUCUAUAUAAGCACACUCCCCACGCCUUAGCACUUCAAUAUCCAUAUCACCGCCUCCUAACACGGCUCGUUCUCAAUCUUUUCGAUGGGUCAACUACUUGUUGCCGGAGCUGUUAUUGAUCAAUCGGCGCUGUAUGGAAGGGGAUGAAGAGCUGGGAUUCGGUUAACAAUCUAGGAAUAUUGUGUUUAUCCUGUGUCAUGCAAAUUUACUUCUAGGCUCAGGAUGUCAAAAUAUGUGAGUAUUUUUUUUAAAAUAUUUUGAUAAACGUGAAUUUUUAUGUUCUCAUUAACGAUAGUGAUUACUUAAAAGGAAAACAAAAAUAUGCAAUAUGCAUCAUAGCACUGAAUUGAUGUUUUACCAUGUCAUAGACACUACGAACUUGGAAAAAUCAAUAUCUAAAUCCUUUCGGGUGUCGAAUUUAUUUAAGAGGAAAUGCAAAUGAUAGGUAUUUUAUUACUGUACAUACUUAUUUUUAUGUUCAUUUUUCCUCCUAUAAAGAUCUUUAUGUACAUUAAUAUAUUAUAAGAAUCUAAAGUCGACAACUACUUACUGGUCAUCUGCUAGCUGUGCUGAGCUCUGUGACACCUUUCUUUGCAUUGGCAAUGAAUUCUCUUUCCCUUAUGAUCUGCUUUUUCAUAAAAUUUCACCAUUUAUUGAUUGCGUUCCCAACAAAAAUUGUCAUCGAAAGCCCUAUCUGUGCCAACUCAUCCUACAACGGGUAGAAAAUUUCUCUGUUUUUUACGCUAGAUUUACAUGUGAUGAUGUGUCAUUUUUCAUACGUUCCAACUCUUGUGGAUAUUAAUAACUUCAUUUCCUGAUCUCUUCAUGAGGAUAUAUGUCUGGUCUCCUUAUAUGGAUGACUGCUUCUUUCGUUUCUACAUUGUUAACAUAUUCAGAUUUUAUCCCAAAGCAUCAACGACUAUCUGCAGGGGCGUAUGUUGUUUUAUAAUAUGAACAUUUGCUUCUAGUCUUGAAGUCAUUAGCGUUGUGCUUGGCAUGUUAUGCAAAUUACAAGUAAUUGUUUGAAGUGCCUAAUUCCUAAAAAAUGAAGUUAGUUCUUUUGACCAGAAAUAUGGGAGUUUACUAAUACGAUCAUAAUUAUGGGAAAAGAUCAGAAGCUGCAUUCCUCAUAAGUAGGGUCUACGGAUGAUUUGUUCCAGUUAUGAACAUAUAUAGGCAAAAUCAAAUACACACUUGGCAAGUUGUUUUUUUAAAUAUUACAUGUGAUCUUUUUGAAAAUAUACUGUUCAUUAUAGCAUAUAGUGUGGGAUUUCUGGUUGUGUUCUUAUUUUAAUUUCUAGAAAUUUGGGGGGUGCAGACUGAUGUCAGUUCACAAUUCAUUUCUUGUUCUACAGGUUCUUCUAAUCUAUGGUGCAUACACGAAUUGGAAACUUCUUGAACAAUACGGGUUUCUUGUACUUAAAAACCUAAAUGACAAGCUUUUUUUUACAAUAGAAUCCGAAGUGUAUUUCCUUUGUUCAUGGCCGAAGGAAUGAGGAAAUAGGGGCAGAUGGCUUUUUGACCAUGGCCCUUGAUUGUUUAAAAAAAUAAUAAAUAAAUAAAUAAAUAAAUAAAUAAAGAAUCAUUAAAACCAAUAAAAACUAUGAAAAUCCAUUUUUGCCCUCACACGGACCUAAAGAGUGAAAAAGAGGGGAAGUUUAUGUAGCAAAAUCAUUGCAUGUAAGCAAGGAAAACCGACAAUCCAGACUGGAGCUCUCCAUUUGUGUGAAGAAGGAUGAAUUACAAUCUGAACGCUGUCAUGAGAUAGAUUCCUUGCAAAGUUACAUCGAACUGUAAUUUUGACAGCUUCACAUCAGUAUUAGAUUCGUUGGACGAGGAGUACGUGAAAAUAUUACGUCGAUCCUGCUUAUGGCCCUUGUAUUCGCUGCGCUUUGUACAACUUUCUGGACAGUUGCUCGAUUCAUUAUUGUGUUGACUGCUUAAGCUAGUUGGCGGAGAUAUCCUCCACUUUGACCUUUGGGUCAAUGUUUCUAUAUCUUAUAUAUUCGAGUGUAUCCUCAUCACUGGAUUGAGAUGUAUAGGCGAAGAAGCAACGAGGGCCCAUAUUCCGACAAACAAGAGGUUGCUGAAUGAUUAUUUUAAUGGGUAUAUGACAAUAAUACUAGCACAGUUAGGAGAUGCAUUCAGGAAAUGCGACCAAAUGUUCGACAAGUUGAAGUUGGGGAAGGUGUUUAUACUCGAGAGCGUAUUGAGGUGUCAUCACAUAAAGAUGUCGAUUGACGUUUUCAUUUGGAAGUUGAUGAUAUCGAUACGUUCAACAGUUAUCCGAAGGGCAGAGAUACUUUGUCCAUACUUUACGCGUUUUUAAGAGGGGGCAUUCGAUGCCUAAGAGGGAUAGGUUUGAAUGUAAAUACGAUGUAUAUGGCAUGUCGUUAGCUUUGCAGCUAUGAGCCUACGAGGCUGUCCUCAUCUUGACUGGUCGAUAUGCGAGGAGACGGGAUACAUGCUGCCCUUGAAUGCACCACUGGCGAGCACAAAACUUAGUUUUUAGCCAUAUGUUAUCGAGUUAAUAUAUUAUUAUUUACUUAUAGGGGCGAUUGUGCUAUACUCACAAUAAAAUAUAUAGAAUUUUUUAUUAUUGGGCACAAUGCUGAUAAAAUAAUUCAAUUUUGGAUAGAUAUGUGGAGGUUGAAGUUAACCUGCAAAUACAGUUGUGAUCUUGAGUACAUUGUGUAUUAUUUUAUUUGAAAAUGUAAAUAUUAAAUCGUGUUCCAACACAACAAUUGUAUAAUAUUUGUUUAUUUUAUUCCUUUA